UACGUAGGGGGGCUAGCGUUGUCCGGAAUCAUUGGGCGUAAAGAGCGUGUAGGCGGUCCGGUAAGUCCGCUGUGAAAGUCAAAGGCUCAACCUUUGAAAGCCGGUGGAUACUGUGGGACUAGAGUACGGAAGAGGCGAGUGGAAUUCCUGGUGUAGCGGUGAAAAUGCGCAGAUAUCAGGAAGAACACCAACGGCGAAGGCAGCUCGCUGGGACGGUACUGACGCUGAGACGCGAAAGCGUGGGGAGCGAACAGG
This 255-nucleotide ribosomal RNA is filed under the name uncultured bacterium. Its description in RNAcentral is "partial 16S ribosomal RNA". It matches the Rfam family "Bacterial small subunit ribosomal RNA", at positions 524 to 776 of the family's 1533-position model. The record is from RNAcentral.